AUUGAACGCUGGCGGCAUGCUUUACACAUGCCAGUCGAACGGCAGCGGGGUAGUGCUUGCACUACUGCCGGCGAGUGGCGAACGGGUGAGUAAUAUAUCGGAACGUACCGAGUAAUGGGGGAUAACCAAUCGAAAGAUUGGCUAAUACCACAUACGUCCUGAGGGAGAAAGCGGGGGAUCGCAAGACCUCGCGUUAUUCGAGCGGCCGAUAACUGAUUAGCUAGUUGGUGGGGUAAAGGCCUACCAAGGCGACGAUCAGUAGCGGGUCUGAGAGGACGAUCCGCCACACUGGGACUGAGACACGGCCCAGACUCCUACGGGAGGCAGCAGUGGGGAAUUUUGGACAAUGGGGGCAACCCUGAUCCAGCCAUGCCGCGUGUAUGAAGAAGGCCUUCGGGUUGUAAAGUACUUUUGUUAGGGAAGAAAAGGGAAGUGCUAAUACCACUUUUUGCUGACGGUACCUAAAGAAUAAGCACCGGCUAACUACGUG
Molecule: ribosomal RNA, 490 nt
Filed under: uncultured bacterium
Lineage: Bacteria
Description: partial 16S ribosomal RNA
Rfam family: Bacterial small subunit ribosomal RNA
Source: RNAcentral